Molecule: long non-coding RNA, 731 nt
Organism: Suricata suricatta (meerkat)
Lineage: Eukaryota; Metazoa; Chordata; Mammalia; Carnivora; Herpestidae
Exons: 2
Source: RefSeq, a predicted model, not a curated record
AGCAGCCCUGAGGAGAGGUCCAUGUGACAGGGAUUGGGGGCCUCCUGCCAACAACCAGCACUAACUUUCCAAUGUUUUCUUCUCCCAUGAGGGAAACUCCCAUCUGACCUGGGAAGACAUUCAAGGUCAUGCCUACCUGGUCCACUGAAGUGGUUAACAACCACAGUCUGUUGACUCAUCCUCUUUGCUUCCUGCUCUCCUGCAAGGGUCCUUGUAACCCAGUUGCCAGCUGGGGCCUCCAUCUUUGAACUCUGGAAAAGACUGCUCCUGAUCCCCAAUUCCACAGUCCAGGGAAGUCCAAAGCAAUUCUGCUGUGAAUUUUCCUGGUGCUUCUGCUUCUGGGAUCUUGCAACUGUGUAAGCCAUCCUGAUUCAAAAGCCCUAUGUCAACCUCCAUAUACAACUCAGCCCUUCACUGUGUCCACAAGAGAUCCACUCAAGUGAAUAUCUGGGAACAUAGCAGAGGGAGAGGGUCAUAUCACACAUUCUGAAGACUUCUUAUUGGCUUCUUUCUCUUAUUUAUGUCACAUCUUCCUCCAGAGUUUCCAAAAGCCUCCUUUCUCCUUCACUGUGUGUGUCCCCCAUCUGAUUCUGUUUCCUGCUAACACUCAGAUCUUCCACACUCCUCAUCCUACCCUGACAACAUUCUACAUGUUUUUCCCCCCAACAAAGCAGUUCUCACCCUUAGAGGAAUUCUAGUGUCAACUCUUAAUAAAAAAUUUCCUGAUCUCA